CCGGCUGUGGGGUCGGCGCGCAUGCGCGGCCCUCGGCUCGGCCCGGGCGCACCUUUUCUCCCUCCUGCCACAAUGUGAGCGCUCAGCGGAGCAGAUAACCGCUGGCUGCCUGCUCCACCCCCGGCCCUCGCCCACUCCGCCUACUCCCGAGCGCCCAGAACUGGCAGACUGCUGACAUGGGAAGAGUAGCCACAACCACCACCAGGGCGAAGAUGUCUCUGGACUCAACUGAGAAGUUCAUCGAAGAGAAAGACUGACUUUCUCCACAGAGCCUUCUGAGAGCAGAGAACGUAUCCCAUGCACUGCACCAAGUCGCCCUCGCUUUAUAAACGCUUCACGAGUGCGUGACUGAUGGUGGAUCCCGGGAGCGCUUGUGGAGACUGCUGGGAUACUGCCUAUCACCAUCUCUCCUCCAGCACCCUACUCCAGCACAGCCUAUUCUGUGACCUACUUUCCCUUUAAGCCAGAAGAUGGUUCCAGGAACUGCUACUCUCUAAGUGACAGAUACCGGUGGAGAAUGAGCCUCAGCCUGCAGAUCAUUGGACCGCUCCCUUCCUUCUCCAGGGGGUGCCCAGUGGGCCAGAAUCCAUGUGUUUUGUAGGAUUCCACUCAACCCUUUACCUAAGUCAUCAGUCUGCCUUUGAUCUGUCUCAGCAAGCAGGGACACGUCUCCACGGGAAGCUGGUGUUAACAAAUGUACACACAACACACACAGAUGCACACAACACGCAGACACACACACACACCUUUCUCACUCUAUGAGCCAUUGUCUGGUCCUUUGCUCCUGGGCCUGACCCAUCUUUAUGAGAUCUAGGCUCUUCCUAUCCCGGGAUGCUGAAUCUGGCCUCCCAUGGGACAGAGUUGGGCACUUUGCACGUCUCCAGCCUUGCCCUCCCUUGGGGGCUUGUGAAGGAUCCACCCAUAUGGCAGAACCUUCCAGAGAGACUCGAAACUAGGAGCCUGACCUCAUGAUGCCCGAAGCACCUGGCACAGAGGGUACCAGCUCUGAUGUCCUGGCCCCAGCCCAGUUCUCUCUUCUAGAAUCCACACCUUCUCUGGCGCUCCUCCAGCCCUGCGAGAGCAGCCCCAGCUUAGCGAGAACGAGCAUGACCUUAGGAAGGACAUAGUACGAGGAGGAGGGGUCUCCGCUGAGGGACCUCACCAACUCAUUCACUGCUGGCGUGUCUCUCGGUUUCCCCUGGCGAAACCGCCCAUGCGUCUAUGAUUAUAAAGGAGCUCCGAACGGCCGGAAAACCCAAGUUAUGCCCUGUUCCCUUGCUGCCAGGAGCUACCUGCCCGCCCCACCCCUUGCUAGUUGCCCAGCCAGGCAGGGUCCUGCAGGAUGAAAGUUCCAAGAAGCCCGAGCAGGAAUAAUAAUGAUACUCAUCUGCAGUGGCGGCGGCGGCGGCGGCGGCGUCUUAGCCACCUGGGAACGCAGGGCCCCACGCCCUGUGCCUCACACCCCAGGACACUACAAGGGCUCCUUUCCCUAGAUUUUAUUACAGGGAUCCCACACUCUGCCAUUCCCAGCCCAACCCAUCCGAGUUUCCAAGAGCUUCAGUCUAGCCACCACCAGCCUCAUCCACCACCCAGGUUCCAUGGGAAGAUUUGGCUUAACAAGACCCAAGCCAACACAGGUGAAGGACGCCCAGCCUCUUGGAAACUUGGGUUCCAGGGUUUCUCAGAGAAGCAAUCCACCUGCCCCUGGCCCAGGGCACUUUCCCACAGACCCAUCUGUGUCUGGUCAGUACAAAGACCUGAAGCCUUGCAAGUGUCCAUCUGAGUCGCAAUUCCCAAGUCACCCACUCUAGGGCUCCAGACAAGUUUUAUUUUGAUUGUUACCCAGAAACUCUCCAAAGUUUGUAGUGUUUGCGAGUGAUGACCGGGAGGAGAGGGGAGCAGGGAGAGCGUCUCUCAUUUCUUUUUUUUUUUUUUUUUUUUUUUUUUUUUUUUUUGCUUCUUUUUUUCCGGAGCUGGGGACCGAACCCAGGGCCUUGCGCUUCCUAGGCAAGCGCUCUACCACUGAGCUAAAUCCCCAACCCCGCAUCUCUCAUUUCUAAUACACAUUUGCAAUCCUAGUCUCCUGCAUUCUUUCCUUGCCCCCCCCCCCGCACCCCUAGUAAAGUAACUUCUCAGCUCACCACAUGGGUCCCACGCUUCUCCGUUUGUGGGGUUGGCUUGGUCAGAUUCUCUGACCCUCCAAGGCUAGGCCAUGGAGCCAUGACUCUGUCUGACUCUCAUCCACUCUGGUUCCUCUUCCUCUGAACCUCUGAGGUCUCUACCUCUUUGUGCCAUAGCUAUCUGCCUAUCUUAACUUACCACAAGGUCAUCUGUGCCCUGGCGUCCCCCCACACUUUCUUGGUACAUGACUGCAAAGCCGAGGAAGGCAUAAGUUCAAUGAAUAUGUGUUGGACAUAAAUUGUGAAGAAGAAUCCUUUUUACCCUCACACAAUGUAUUUUUUAAAUAGAACGCAUAAUUAUGUUACUACAAAAUGUCACUGGUGUGGAAAGAGACGGGGGUGGGGGAGAUGAACCCCAACCUAGCUUUCUUGGCUGGUGAGCUACAGGCACCGAAGCCCCAGUGAAGAUUUCAUCCCCAUGGUUUUGGCCCCUAAGCUGACACAUAUAAUGAUAUCCAUGACUGGUCACUGGCCCGAUUCACUGUUGGCCUCUGUCUAGAAGGAGGUAAGCUCUUCCACCCGUAGAAAAUGACAGUUCCCUCCUUUCGGGCUUCAGUUGUUCUAAGCCCCAGCAGCCUCCAUGCCCCCUAGGAAUGCCACAGGGACCCCUAGGUUCAUAUGGUGUCAAGAGAGCAAGUGGUGGAGUGCUGUAGACCCCUGCUCUGGAUGCUCACUCAAACCCCUCAGAGGCACCUCCAGCACAGCUGCUACUGUCGUUAAAUAGUAACAAUAACACAGCAACGUCCUGUAUUUACCUACGGCUUUUCUCCAGGGAGCUCCACUAAUCUUUCUCUCAUCUCCAGAAGGAAGGGAAGGACCAAGGCGAUGAAGGACAAGUGAGCCAUUGCAGCCACACUCCCAAAUACAGGCAUCCUUUGUUCUGCAGGGUAAAUACAAUCCUAAGUAUUUCAGAUGGGGAGCACUGAGGGAGUAGAGAGGUAGCUAAUUCUCCGGGAUCCAAGGCCCGGGAUUGUUAAAUCUUUCGCUAGAAUUACAGUCUUUGUGAGGUGACAAUCCCCCAGAGCAAAGUACUUACUUACAUCUGCUGAUGUUUUGAGACAGUGUCUUACUAUUAGCUCUGACUGUCUUGGAAUGCACUGACUGGCUUCAAACUCACAGAGAUCCAUCUGCCUCUGUUUGCUGAGUGCUGGGAUUAAAGGUGUAUGCCAUGUGCCAUUAUCCUCAGCUAAGGUAUUACAUCUUAUCAGC
This is a long non-coding RNA of Rattus norvegicus (Norway rat), 3389 nucleotides long. RefSeq lists it as uncharacterized. NCBI's taxonomy places the organism in Eukaryota, Metazoa, Chordata, Mammalia, Rodentia, Muridae. The record is from RefSeq and is a predicted model, not a curated record.